Small nuclear RNA from Ochotona princeps (American pika), 160 nucleotides. RefSeq annotates it as U1 spliceosomal RNA. The record is from RefSeq and is a predicted model, not a curated record. The transcript has a single exon. Lineage: Eukaryota; Metazoa; Chordata; Mammalia; Lagomorpha; Ochotonidae.
UUUUCAACAUGACAGACGACAGACCAUGAGCACGAAGGUGGCUUUGCCAGGCCGAGGCUUAUCCAUUGCACUCCGGAUGUGCUGACACUUGUUCCCCACAUGUGGGAACCUCGACUACAUGGUUUGUGAUAUUGGGGGACUGUGUUCGUGCUCUCUCCUG